This 751-nucleotide long non-coding RNA is filed under the name Nicotiana benthamiana. Its description in RNAcentral is "long non-coding RNA (NBEN_LNC030398)". Lineage: Eukaryota; Viridiplantae; Streptophyta; Magnoliopsida; Solanales; Solanaceae. The record is from RNAcentral.
GAAUUUGGAAAGAGCACAACAAGUUUUCAUCAACACUCAUCAUAGCACCGGCAUUGUCAAACUCUCCACAGUAGUUGGGCGCUGAAAAAAUGGUGACAAGCUGCCUCUCAGCAAAGAAUUCAUAACCAUCUUCCACAACCUGCAAGAAAAAAAAGAAGAUGCAAAUCAAUAACCUCAGAGAAGCACAGCAGGACAAAGAAAACAGGGUUCCUUUACCUGAUGGGCACGACAGACAAGGUCCAAGUCAUGUUUUGACAAAAACUCAGAAACUUUAUCAGGACAAACAAAAGAAGAUGCAAAUCAAUAACCUCAGAGGAGAAGCAUAGCAGGACAAAGAAAACAGGGUUCCUUUACCUGAUGGGCACGACAGACAAGGUCCAAGUCAUGUUUUGACAAAAACUCAGAAACUUUAUCAGGGCCAAAGGUGUAUGAAACUCCUCUAUCGUUCAUCCCCCACCCCUUCACAUCUUUACCAGGAUCUGACCAAAGUAAAUCACAAAGCAAACCAGUAUCGGGUAUGGCAGUUGGACGUGGCAAGUUUCUUAUCUGAUCCAAGCUAGAAAGAUCAGGCGAGAGACCCCCAUGCAUCCAUAGUAUCUUCUCAUCAAUAAGUUAUGGCAGUUGGACGUGGUAAGUUUCUUAUCUGAUCCAAGCUAGAGAGAUCAGGCGAGAGACCCCCAUGCAUGCAUAGUAUCUUCUCAUCAAUAAGUGCUGCCACAGGAAGACAAUUGAAACAGUCUGUAAAGGAUUU